CGCUUCCUCUGGCCCCGCCCUCCGUCUUCUUGGCUGGACCCCCGUGAGAGCCAGCAGAGGAGGGCAAGGAGAAUGGGAGCUUCCCCACUCCGGGAGAGGCCUCGGGUCUGUGGAUGGCAAGCCCUCCUGGUGGCUCUUGGACGAGCUCCUGGGUCAUCCCUGGUGACUGUGCAGAAAGGAGGAUGGUGCCCUGCUUCCCAGAACAGAGCGGCUCAGCAUUCCACGUUAGAGCGGCCAAAGAACUGUGAACAACAGCAGACCGGCUCCCGGGCGCUUCUACGGUCACUGAGGGCACUGCAGCACGGAGCCCGGGGAGGGGCGGGGGCUCUGGCCAGCUGGCGUGCGGGGCACUUGGGGGAUGCCUGGUGUGCUCCCCCGUGCUCCCAGCUGCCUGGCAGUUCCCUGGAGAAGGGGCCACUCCUCCUUUAUUUUUGCUUGUGGCCUGGAAAGAAGGUGCCCCAGUCCUCCACUGAGUUCCUGCAGAUCCUCUUCCAGGAGCCUGGAAGCUUCAGAGAGCCAAGGCCCCCAGAGAUGCUGCUCCAAGAGGUGCGACCUUUCAUGGUUAUCCCUAGCCAGGCCAGCACCCCUGACAGGUCACCAGGGAGACCCCGGGCUGUGUGUCCCCGAGCUCUGAGCUGCGAUCCGGGAGAAAGCAAGUGUUCCCUGAGACGGAUGCGGCCUGGGCCAACCGAGCAGCUGGCCCUGCUGAGCAGAGGAUGGUACUGGCCUCACUUCCCGACUCCUGAUGACCAUUGGGGAGGGGCCCCAAGAAUCCAGCAUGACCUGCCACCCCAGAGCGCCUGGUGGCCUUGUGGCUCCAACGGGACGAUUAAACACAUACAUGGCAAUUGUUACUGUUGCCAGCGGUGAUGGGGACAAUGAGGACCAGGUGUGCUCUCCCUGGCCGCACUGCGGCUGGGGGCCCGCAGCCUCAAACCAGAACAAAGCCGAUGGGGCCCUGCCCGGGCGAGAGGCUGCCGUGUCUGAGGGCCGGAGCCUCGCUGUCCAAUGGCAAGCCGCCCUUGCUGCUCACAUUUAAACUCAGAGGAAACACAAGUGUAAAACUUCAUUCUUGAGUAGCACUGGCCACGUCCCAGAGGCCCCCACAGCCACACGUGGCUGGUGGGCACCAGAUCGG
RNAcentral lists this long non-coding RNA (1138 nucleotides) under Moschus moschiferus (Siberian musk deer). Its description in RNAcentral is "lncRNA (ENSMMSG00000017787.1)". The record is from RNAcentral. Lineage: Eukaryota; Metazoa; Chordata; Mammalia; Artiodactyla; Moschidae.